RNAcentral lists this ribosomal RNA (437 nucleotides) under uncultured bacterium. RNAcentral describes it as "bacterial SSU rRNA". It matches the Rfam family "Bacterial small subunit ribosomal RNA", at positions 30 to 462 of the family's 1533-position model. The record is from RNAcentral.
AUUGAACGCUGGCGGCAUGCUUUACACAUGCAAGUCGAACGGCAGCACGGGUGCUUGCACCUGGUGGCGAGUGGCGGACGGGUGAGUAAUGCAUCGGAACGUGUCCUGAAGUGGGGGGAUAACGCAUCGAAAGAUGUGCUAAUACCGCAUAUUCUCUGAGGAGGAAAAGUAGGGGAUCGAAAGACCUUAUGCUUUUUGGGAGCGGCCGAUGUCUGAUUAGCUAGUUGGUAGGGUAAUGGCUUACCAAGGCGACGAUCAGUAGUUGGUCUGAGAGGACGACCAGCCACACUGGGACUGAGACACGGCCCAGACUCCUACGGGAGGCAGCAGUGGGGAAUUUUGGACAAUGGGCGCAAGCCUGAUCCAGCAAUGCCGCGUGAGUGAAGAAGGCCUUCGGUUGUAAAGCGUACUUUCAGUUGUAGAAGAAAAAGUACGUA